RNAcentral lists this ribosomal RNA (150 nucleotides) under Clostridioides difficile. Its description in RNAcentral is "partial 23S ribosomal RNA". It matches the Rfam family "Bacterial large subunit ribosomal RNA", at positions 1151 to 1308 of the family's 2925-position model. Lineage: Bacteria; Bacillati; Bacillota; Clostridia; Peptostreptococcales; Peptostreptococcaceae. The record is from RNAcentral.
CAGUGAUCCUGCGCCGAAGAUUGCCGGGGCUAAAACUUACUACCGAAGCUACGGCAUCAGUAAUGAUGGGUAGGGGAGCUUCCCAUACGGGUUGAAGCAUGACCGUAAGGACAUGUGGACAGUAUGGGAGUGAGAAUGUUGGCAUGAGUA